Molecule: ribosomal RNA, 425 nt
Filed under: uncultured bacterium
Lineage: Bacteria
Description: bacterial SSU rRNA
Rfam family: Bacterial small subunit ribosomal RNA
Source: RNAcentral
UGAGGAAUAUUGGUCAAUGGGCGCAAGCCUGAACCAGCCAUGCCGCGUGAAGGAUGAAGGCUCUAUGGGUUGUAAACUUCUUUUAUACGGGAAUAAACCCUCUCACGCGUUGGGAGAUUGAAGGUACCGUAGGAAUAAGCAUCGGCUAACUCCGUGCCAGCAGCCGCGGUAAUACGGAGGAUGCAAGCGUUAUCCGGAUUUAUUAGGUUUAAAGGGUGUGUAGGCGGGGUGGCAAGUCAGCGGUGAAAGCCCAAAGCUCAACUUUGGAACUGCCGUAGAUACUGCUGUCCUUGAGUAUAGUUGAAGUAGGCGGAAUGUGUCAUGUAGCGGUGAAAUGCUUAGAUAUGACACAGAACACCGAUUGCGAAGGCAGCUUACUAAACUAUCACUGACGCUGAGGCACGAAAGCGUGGGGAGCAAACAGG